RNAcentral lists this unclassified non-coding RNA (499 nucleotides) under Hevea brasiliensis (rubber tree). The record is from RNAcentral. Lineage: Eukaryota; Viridiplantae; Streptophyta; Magnoliopsida; Malpighiales; Euphorbiaceae.
GGUGGAAGGGUUUGAGCCGGGGCAGAGGCUGGCGAUUGACGAGCUUUUUAAGGAGGGUGAUUUGGUGGAUGUGUCCGGGAACUCCAUUGGCAAGGGGUUUCAAGGGGGGAUCAAGCGACACAAUUUUGCCCGUGGGCCGAUGAGCCAUGGUUCUAAGAGUCACAGAGCCCUGGGAUCAAUUGGUGCUGGAACAACUCCAGGACAUGUUUACAAAGGGAAAAAGAUGCCUGGUAGGAUGGGAGGUACCAAGACAAAAAUUCGGAAGUUGAAGAUUGUCAAGAUAGACAAUGAUCUCCGCAUCGUCAUGAUAAAAGGGGCGGUUCCUGGGAAGCCUGGAAAUCUUCUUCGCAUAACCACAGCCAAGAUUGUUGGGAAGAACAUACCGAAGAGCUAACGCGACAGAGAUGAAUGCCAGGUUUUGUGUGUAUCUGAAUGCCUGUUUCUUCUUUUAACUUCCUUCUUUCUUCAUUUUUUUUCUUGUUCCAAUGUGCUAGAUUUU